RNAcentral lists this long non-coding RNA (1048 nucleotides) under Homo sapiens (human). Its description in RNAcentral is "non-protein coding LINC02232:29". The record is from RNAcentral. Lineage: Eukaryota; Metazoa; Chordata; Mammalia; Primates; Hominidae.
ACCAGAAGCAGAGGCUGGCACCAUGUUUGUUAUGCAGCCUGCAGAACCACCAUCGAACUCCAAGUACUUCAGAUUUGGAACUCGGACUGCUUUCCUUGCUCCUCAGCCUGCAGAUGGCCUAUUGUGGGACCUUGUGAUUAUGUAGUGAGACGAGCAUGAGUGGAGCAGGAGACGGCUGUCCCCCACCCACAAGGAAUAUCAGAUGAUGGUUCAGCGAUCAUCACAUUGCCUCUCUGAAAGUGAUAAAUUGGCAGCUGGCACCAGGGAGAGGCUAUUUCCUGAUGGCCCACACCUGUUGCACUAAGAUGUUAAUCGAAUGCAGAUUCCAGGGAGAAACAACUUCCUGGGCAUGUGCGUAAGAGACAAAAUGGCAGGUAUGACCUUCUGGGGACACUCCACCAGAAAAGGGAAGAAAACCUCAGAUGGGCAUGCAUAUAACUUCCUAAACACACUGCUCACACUCUCCUCCCAAGGGUAAGGAGGGCACUGCACAUGCAGGCAGCCCAUCCUAAGGGAAGCAUCCUGGGAAAGGGGUCAGUCUAUAUGGUUCUGGGAUCAAGAUUAAACACCACAUUAGACCUUCAAGUUGCCCACUUGGGUCUCUUCUAUGUGUAUUUUUCUUUCCUUUCUUUUCUGCUCUAAAGCUUUUUUAAAUAAACAUACACAUCCCUCCUCUGAAACUUGCCUUGGUCUCUUUUUCUGCCAUAUGCAACUCAGUCAAAUUAUUUCUUCUGAGGAGGAAAAAAUUGAGGUAGCUGCAUUCCCAUACAGAUUCACCAUCGGUAACUCAGAUACCUUCUACUGGCCAUAUGUUUGGUGUUCUAUUCAAGAAAUAAUUGCUAAAGCCAAUGUCUUAAAGUGUUUUUCUUAUGUUUUUCUUCUAAGAGUUUUACAGUUUCAGGUCUUACACUUAAGUAUUUAAUUAAUUUGAGUUGAUUUUAUGCAUGGUGUAGGAUGUGUGUAAUAUUCAGUUUUUCUAACACUAUUUGUUGAAGAGACUAUUCUUUUUCCACUGUGUAUCCUUAGAAGCAUUGCUGAAGUGUUGUUG